AUGGCGCCGGCGGAAGGGGAAAGGCAUCAGCCACUGGCCAUGGCGGCGUCGAGACUGGAGCUGAACCUGGUGAGGCUGCUGUGCCGCUGCGAAGCAAUGGCAGCGGAGAAGCGGGACCCGGAAGAAUGGCGCCUAGAGAAGUACGUGGGGGCCCUGGAGGACAUGCUGCAGGCGCUGAAAACCCAAGCUAGCAAACCGGCCUCGGAGGUGAUCAACGAAUACUCCCGCAAGGUGGAUUUCCUCAAGGGGAUGCUGCAGGCAGAGAAGCUGGCCUCCUCCUCAGAGAAGGCACUCGCCAACCAGUUCCUGGCCCCUGGCCGCGUGCCCACCACAGCCAGGGAGCGGGUGCCCGCCACCAAGACCGUACAUCUGCAGUCACGGGCUCGGUACACCAGCGAGAUGCGGAGUGAGCUGCUGGGCACGGACUCUGCCAGAGAGUUGGAGCUGGACGUGAGGAAGCGAACUGGGGUGACAGGGUCCAGGCCGGCAGACGAGAAGCAGUCAGCAGCUGAGCUGGACCUCGUCCUACAACGACACCAGGACCUCCAGGAAAAGUUGGCCGAGGAGAUGCUCGGCCUAGCCCGCAGCCUCAAGACCAACACACUGGCCGCCCAGAGCGUCAUCAAGAAGGACAACCAGACCCUGUCACACUCACUCAAGAUGGCCGACCAGAGCCUAGAGAAGCUGAAGACGGAGUCGGAGCGGCUGGAGCAGCACGCACAGAAGUCGGUCAACUGGCUGCUGUGGAUCAUGCUCAUCGUGGUCUGUUUCAUCUUCAUCAGCAUGAUUCUCUUCAUACGCGUCAUGCCCAAGCUCAAAUAAAGCCUGUGCCCUCCGACCUCUGACCUCUGACCUCCAACCCCCGCCUCCCACCGCUCUGCCCAUCUCCCCCCUCAAGGUGGGGAACAAGAUGCAGGGUCUUUGGGGGCCUCCAGGAGCGGGGGAGGGUGAAGGGGGACUUUGGGGUCAGUGACAGCAAGCAUGACCCGUUCCAUCCUGGCAUCUGCCCCACCUGGGACAAGGCCAGGCCCAAGAGCCCCACAAGAAGACAAGCGUGUGACACACGUCUGUAAUCCCAGCACUCCAGAAGCAGAGGCGGGAGGAUGGUGGUACAGGCUCCACAGGAUGGUCACUCAGGACACACAGGUCCUGCCGGGCACAGUGAUGCACACCUGUAAUCCCCGCACUUGGAUGAGGAGCAGAGGCCAGCCUGGACUGC
Molecule: non-coding RNA, 1219 nt
Organism: Castor canadensis (American beaver)
Lineage: Eukaryota; Metazoa; Chordata; Mammalia; Rodentia; Castoridae
Source: RefSeq, a predicted model, not a curated record